UAGGGAAUAUUGGACAAUGGGCGCAAGCCUGAUGCAGCGACGCCGCGUGAGGGAUGACGGCCUUCGGGUUGUAAACCUCUUUCACCAGGGACGAAGCGAAAGUGACGGUACCUGGAGAAGAAGCACCGGCCAACUACGUGCCAGCAGCCGCGGUAAUACGUAGGGUGCGAGCGUUGUCCGGAAUUACUGGGCGUAAAGAGUUCGUAGGCGGUUUGUCGCGUCGUUCGUGAAAACUUGGGGCUUAACUCCAAGCGUGCGGGCGAUACGGGCAGACUUGAGUACUACAGGGGAGACUGGAAUUCCUGGUGUAGCGGUGAAAUGCGCAGAUAUCAGGAGGAACACCGGUGGCGAAGGCGGGUCUCUGGGUAGUAACUGACGCUGAGGAACGAAAGCGUGGGUAGCGAAC
RNAcentral lists this ribosomal RNA (406 nucleotides) under uncultured bacterium. Its description in RNAcentral is "bacterial SSU rRNA". It matches the Rfam family "Bacterial small subunit ribosomal RNA", at positions 355 to 773 of the family's 1533-position model. The record is from RNAcentral.